CGGAAACUUGAAACGGUUUCAGUCUUCACCAUCACAAUCCAAUUCGUAGAGGAGGAUGACGCACGAGCAAAGAUGAUUUCUUUCUCCACCUUGAAGUCCCCGAGCCUCCGUCCAACGCCACCACCCUCUUCCCUAAAUCAACCUCACCCUAAUCUCAAAUCUCUCCCUCUACCCACCAACACCACCCCCCAAGCCCUUUCCGCAUCAGACCCCGAGCCUCAGCCUCGGAAGCUCAAGGGCAGCUCUCAGCUCAACCGUUGGUCCAGGGCUCGAACAGUCCGCUCUGGCCGUAAAUUGGACCGCUUGGGUCUCCGGACCCAGGUUGCAGAGCUCAACCUCCCAUCUCAACAACCCAAAGAAAGCGAAGUGAACGAAUAUAGCUCUGUAACAUCAGGCAACAGAGAUGAUGAAGCCGUGGAGUUGG
RNAcentral lists this unclassified non-coding RNA (424 nucleotides) under Hevea brasiliensis (rubber tree). Lineage: Eukaryota; Viridiplantae; Streptophyta; Magnoliopsida; Malpighiales; Euphorbiaceae. The record is from RNAcentral.